This 86-nucleotide ribosomal RNA is filed under the name Salmonella enterica subsp. enterica serovar Enteritidis. RNAcentral also lists the same sequence under 1 other name. Lineage: Bacteria; Pseudomonadati; Pseudomonadota; Gammaproteobacteria; Enterobacterales; Enterobacteriaceae. The record is from RNAcentral.
CUUGACGACCAUAGAGCAUUGGAACCACCUGAUCCCAUCCCGAACUCAGUAGUGAAACGAUGCAUCGCCGAUGGUAGUGUGGGGUU